RNAcentral lists this ribosomal RNA (460 nucleotides) under uncultured bacterium. Its description in RNAcentral is "partial 16S ribosomal RNA". It matches the Rfam family "Bacterial small subunit ribosomal RNA", at positions 338 to 795 of the family's 1533-position model. The record is from RNAcentral.
CCUACGGGUGGCAGCAGUGAGGAAUAUUGGUCAAUGGGCGCGAGCCUGAACCAGCCAAGUCGCGUGAAGGAUGACUGCCCUACGGGUUGUAAACUUCUUUUAUAAAGGAAUAAAGUGAGGCACGUGUACCUUUUUGUAUGUACUUUAUGAAUAAGGAUAGGCUAACUCCGUGCCAGCAGCCGCGGUACUACGGAGGAUCCGAGCGUUAUCCGGAUUUAGUGGGUUUAAAGGGAGCGUAGAUGGGUGGUUAAGUCAGUUGUGAAAGUUUGCGGCUCAACCGUAAAAGUGCAAUUGAUACUGGCAGACUUGAGUACAGUUGAGGUAGGCGGAAUUCGUGGUGUAGCGGUGAAAUGCUUAGAUAUCACGAAGAACUCCGAUUGCGAAGGCAGCUUACUAAACUGCCACUGACAUUGAUGCUCGAAAGUGUGGGUAUCAAACAGGAUUAGAUACCCCUGUAGUC